GAGGAAUAUUGGUCAAUGGGGGCAACCCUGAACCAGCCAAGUCGCGUGAAGGAUGAAGGUCUUAUGGAUUGUAAACUUCUUUUACACGGGAAUAAAGUGGGGGACGUGUCCCCCUUUGCAUGUACCGUGUGAAUAAGGAUCGGCUAACUCCGUGCCAGCAGCCGCGGUAAUACGGAGGAUCCGAGCGUUAUCCGGAUUUAUUGGGUUUAAAGGGUGCGCAGGCGGGAUGUUAAGUCGGCGGUGAAAUUUUGCAGCUCAACUGUAAAAGUGCCUUCGAUACUGGCCUCCUUGAGUGUGGAUGAAGUAGGCGGAAUUUGUGGUGUAGCGGUGAAAUGCUUAGAUAUCACGAGGAACUCCGAUUGCGCAGGCAGCUUACUAAGCCACAACUGACGCUCAUGCACGAAGGCGUGGGGAUCAAAC
Molecule: ribosomal RNA, 420 nt
Filed under: uncultured bacterium
Lineage: Bacteria
Description: bacterial SSU rRNA
Rfam family: Bacterial small subunit ribosomal RNA
Source: RNAcentral